GAUGAACGCUGGCGGCGUGCUUAACACAUGCAAGUCGAACGGUGAAGCAGAGCUUGCUCUGUGGAUCAGUGGCGAACGGGUGAGUAACACGUGAGCAACCUGCCCCUGACUCUGGGAUAAGCGCUGGAAACGGCGUCUAAUACUGGAUAUGAGCUGCGACCGCAUGGUCAGCAGUUGGAAAGAUUUUUCGGUCUGGGAUGGGCUCACGGCCUAUCAGCUUGUUGGUGAGGUAAUGGCUCACCAAGGCGUCGACGGGUAGCCGGCCUGAGAGGGUGACCGGCCACACUGGGACUGAGACACGGCCCAGACUCCUACGGGAGGCAGCAGUGGGGAAUAUUGCACAAUGGGCGAAAGCCUGAUGCAGCAACGCCGCGUGAGGGAUGACGGCCUUCGGGUUGUAAACCUCUUUUAGCAGGGAAGAAGCGAAAGCGACGGUACCUGCAGAAAAAGCGCCGGCUAACUACGUG
RNAcentral lists this ribosomal RNA (467 nucleotides) under uncultured bacterium. Its description in RNAcentral is "partial 16S ribosomal RNA". It matches the Rfam family "Bacterial small subunit ribosomal RNA", at positions 28 to 507 of the family's 1533-position model. The record is from RNAcentral.